UCGGGAAUUUUGGGCAAUGGGGGAAACCCUGACCCAGCAACGCCGCGUGAAGGAUGAAGUAUUUCGGUAUGUAAACUUCGAAAGAAUAGGAAGAAUAAAUGACGGUACUAUUUAUAAGGUCCGGCUAACUACGUGCCAGCAGCCGCGGUAAUACAGGGGGUGCGAGCGUUAAUCGGAAUUACUGGGCGUAAAGGGCGCGUAGGCGGUCGAGUAAGUCGGAUGUGAAAUCCCCGGGCUUAACCUGGGAAUUGCAUUCGAUACUGCUUGGCUAGAGUGUGGAAGAGGGAAGCGGAAUUUCCGGUGUAGCGGUGAAAUGCGUAGAUAUCGGAAGGAACACCAGUGGCGAAGGCGGCUUCCUGGUCCAACACUGACGCUGAGGCGCGAAAGCGUGGGGAGCAAACAGGAUUAGAUACCCUUGUAGUCCCUGAGCGGGCUGGCAAGGCGCAU
Molecule: ribosomal RNA, 447 nt
Filed under: uncultured bacterium
Lineage: Bacteria
Description: bacterial SSU rRNA
Rfam family: Bacterial small subunit ribosomal RNA
Source: RNAcentral